This 229-nucleotide non-coding RNA is filed under the name Streptomyces sp. NRRL F-4428. RNAcentral describes it as "Streptomyces sRNA 4677". It matches the Rfam family "Streptomyces sRNA 4677". From Rfam's summary of the family: Located in the intergenic region between anti-sigma factor SCO4677 gene and a putative regulatory protein gene SCO4676. scr4677 expression requires the SCO4677 activity and scr4677 sRNA itself seem to affect the levels of the SCO4676-associated transcripts. Lineage: Bacteria; Bacillati; Actinomycetota; Actinomycetes; Kitasatosporales; Streptomycetaceae. The record is from Rfam by way of RNAcentral.
CGACCCGGCGUGCUUAGACGUAUAAGGCUUCAAAGAAACGGGAGAAAAAACCAACCCACCCCACCCCACCGUCUUCAGUCCCUCGGUCGGGUGAAUCGCGCCAACUGGACUGGAUUUCGGGCCGGUUGCCGGGCAUAUGCUCGGCCCGACAACAGCAGACAUGAGACGGCCCCCGGCGGGACUGGCAUCCCGGCGAGGGCCUGACCAAGCAGGAAGAAAGCCCUUCCUU